Limulus polyphemus (Atlantic horseshoe crab) is the source of this 851-nucleotide long non-coding RNA. RefSeq lists it as uncharacterized. Lineage: Eukaryota; Metazoa; Arthropoda; Merostomata; Xiphosura; Limulidae. The record is from RefSeq and is a predicted model, not a curated record. The transcript has 3 exons.
UAUCGAAACCCGGUUUUUAUUUAAUAUUUAAUAUAAUAAGCCGUCAGGAUUGCCGUUGAGCCACUGGGUGGCUCCACGUUUGUGGCAGUUGAUGUUUUACAGACUUUGAUAAAGAUUCCGUGAAACUGUAAAUACAAAAAUUAUUCCGUUUUUGUAGUUUCUGUUACUGUAAGUACAAAUCUGGCAACAUUUCUUAUUGUAAAGAUGGUUAAGAAGUUAAAUUUGAGGUGGAUAACUAAUUCUUUCUUGGUAGUACUGGUACUAUGAGUAUGACAGAUAAGUCAGCAGAACAAACACACACAGGUAUUGUGAUGCCACCAAACAUUUAUCACUUUUGAGAAUGGGAAUGAUAUGUAACAAGCUUUUCCAAUGCAAAAUAUUCAUACACUCAGAUCAAAAGGUGUGAUUACAUUGGGAUUUAGAAUUUCUAAGAUGGGGAUAUUCAUUGAAUUUAAUGGCAUUAGAAGACAACUGAUCAUGGAUCAACUUGGGGACCCAGGACCUUCCCAAAAAAAGGUGUGUAACAAGUCAAACUUCAACCAUGGUAAGCAAAUUAAGGCAUCUUAUAACAGGUGAGAAUUUACAAACACAAAAGUUAAUGAUAAAAAACAUCUUUGUGCCCCAGGCAACAGUAUGCAACAUAGUAAAAAAAGAUAUACAUUUGGGAAAAGUGACACAAGCUGCUUCAACAACAUACCCAUUUAACUGUCACAUCCUCGAGCAUCUAGAAAAGGAAACAGGUAUUCAUACUAUUCCAUAUUAAGGCAUACUUGGCAAGUUGCCAGAUGCAAUGCCUAUGGAUUUCUGUGCAAAUAAACUGUUGAAAAGGAUGCUGGAAAAGCAUUAUCCUC